Molecule: ribosomal RNA, 253 nt
Filed under: uncultured bacterium
Lineage: Bacteria
Description: partial 16S ribosomal RNA
Rfam family: Bacterial small subunit ribosomal RNA
Source: RNAcentral
UACAGAGGGUGCUAGCGUUGUUCGGAAUCAUUGGGCGUAAAGGGCGCGUAGGCGGGAUGGCAAGUCGGUCGUGAAAUCCUUCGGCUCAACCGAAGAACGUCGGCCGAUACUGCCGUUCUUGAGGGAUGCAGAGGAGAUUGGAAUUCCCGGUGUAGCGGUGAAAUGUGUAGAGAUCGGGAGGAACACCGGUGGCGAAGGCGGGUCUCUGGGCAUCUCCUGACGCUGAGGCGCGAAAGCGUGGGGAGCAAACGGG